GACGAACGCUGGCGGCGUGCUUAACACAUGCCAGUCGAACGGAAAGGCCCUGCUUUUGUGGGGUGCUCGAGUGGCGAACGGGUGAGUAACACGUGAGUAACCUGCCCUUGACUUUGGGAUAACUUCAGGAAACUGGGGCUAAUACCGGAUAGGAGCUCCUGCUGCAUGGUGGGGGUUGGAAAGUUUCGGCGGUUGGGGAUGGACUCGCGGCUUAUCAGCUUGUUGGUGGGGUAGUGGCUUACCAAGGCUUUGACGGGUAGCCGGCCUGAGAGGGUGACCGGCCACAUUGGGACUGAGAUGCGGCCCAGACUCCUACGGGAGGAAGCAGUGGGGAAUAUUGCACAAUGGGCGGAAGCCUGAUGCAGCAACGCCGCGUGCGGGAUGACGGCCUUCGGGUUGUAAAACGCUUUCGCCUGUGACGAAGCGUGAGUGACGGUAAUGGGUAAAGAAGCACCGGCUAACUACG
RNAcentral lists this ribosomal RNA (466 nucleotides) under uncultured bacterium. RNAcentral describes it as "partial 16S ribosomal RNA". It matches the Rfam family "Bacterial small subunit ribosomal RNA", at positions 28 to 505 of the family's 1533-position model. The record is from RNAcentral.